Molecule: long non-coding RNA, 2139 nt
Filed under: Solanum lycopersicum (tomato)
Lineage: Eukaryota; Viridiplantae; Streptophyta; Magnoliopsida; Solanales; Solanaceae
Description: partial TCONS_00010915
Source: RNAcentral
AAAAAGAACAAAUCUUUAGAACAUUACUCAAUAUCCGCAAAGAAAAAACAAUGCAAAACAACAAAAUGAAGAAAACAAACAAUCAGAACUGUAAUUAGCUUAGUCCGAACAAAUUACACUGGCUGAGAGAAAGAGACAUGGAAGCAGAGAAAUGGGGAGGUAGGUAUGGAAAAAAGAACAAAUCCUUAGAACAUUGAAUCAAGACCCACAAGAACAAAUCAAUGCAUAACAACAAAAUGAAGAAAACAAGCAAUUUAGAACUAUAAUUAGCUUUGUAUGUACCUAUUUCUUUGACAGAGAAAGAGAUGUGGAAGCAGAGAAAGACUAGGUAGAUAGGGGAAAAAACAAAUCUUUAGAAAAUUGAUUCAAGACCCACAAAGAAUAACACAAUGCAAAACAAGAAAAUGGAGAAAACAAUCAAUUAUAACUGUAAUUAGCUUAGUCUGUACCUAUUACACUGACAGAGAGAUAGAGACUUGUAAGCAGAGAAAUAAGGAUAACAGACUAGGUGGGUAUGGAAAUAAAAAACAGAUCUUUUUCACAUUGAUUCAAGACUCGCAAGGAAUGAAACAAUGCAAAACAAGAAAAUGAAGAAAAACAAACAAUUUAAACUAUAUGGAAGUAGAGAAUUACACUGACAGAUAGAUAGAGAUGUGCAAGCAAAGAAUUACACUGACAGAUAGAUAGAGAUCUGGAAGCAGAGAACUACACUGACGAAUAAAUAGACGUGGAAGCAGAGAAUUACACUGACAGAUAAAUAGAGAUGUGGAAGCAGAGAAUUACACUAACAGAGAGAUAAAGAUGUGGAAGCAGAGAAAUGGGGAUGAAAGACAGGGUGGGUAUGGAAUAAAAAUCAAAUCUUUAGAACAUUGAAUCAAGACCCACAAAGAACAUCUCAACACAUAACAACAACAUGAAAGAAAACAGGCAAUUAGAACUGUAAUUAGCUUACAAAUUACUACUUCAACAGAGAAAUGGGGAUGAAAGACAAGGUGGGUAUGGAAAAAAAACAAAUCUUUAGAACAUUGAUUCAAAUCCCACAAAGCAUAACAAGAAAGUGAAGAAAACAAGGAAUUAGAACUCUGAGUAGCUUACCAAAUUACUACUUCAACAGAGAAAUGGGGAUGAAAGACAAGAUGAGUUUAAAAAAAAAAUCUUUAGAACAUUGAUUCAAAACCCACAAAGAAUAAAGCACUGAUAACAAGAAAGUGAAGAAAACAGGCAAUUAGAACUGUAAUUAGCUUACCAAUUACUACUUCAACAGAGAAAUGGGGAUGAAAGACCAGAUGGGUAUGGAAAAAAACAAAUCUUUAGAAUAUUGAUUCAAAACCCACAAAGAAUAAAGCAGAGCAUAACAAGAAAGUGAAGAAAACAAGGACUUAGAAGUGUAAUUAGCUUACUAAUCACUACUUUGACAGAUAAAUGGGGAUGAAAGACAAGAUGGGUAUGGAAAAAAACAAAUCUUUAGAGCAAUGAAUCAAGACCCACAAACAACAUCUCAAUGCAACAUGAAAGAAAACAGGCAAUUAGAACUGUAAUUAGCUUACAAAUCACUACUUCAACAGAGAAAUGGGGAUGAAAGACAAGGUGGGUAUGGAAAAAAAAAACAAAUCUUUAGAACAUUGAUUCAAAUCCCACAAAGCAUAACAACAACAUGAAAGAAAACAGGCAAUUAGAACUGUAAUUAGCUUACAAAUCACUACUUCAACAGAGAAAUGGGGAUGAAAGACAAGGUGGGUAUGAAAAAAAAAAACAAAUCUUUAGAACAUUGAUUCAAAUCCCACAAAGCAUAACAACAACAUGAAAGAAAACAGGCAAUUACAACUGUAAUUAGCUUACAAAUCACUACUUCAACAGAGAAAUGGGGAUGAAAGGCAAGAUGGGUAUGGAAAAAAAAAACAAAUCUUUAGAACAUUGAUUCAAAUCCCACAAAGCAUAACAACAACAUGAAAGAAAACAGGCAAUUAGAACUGUAAUUAGCUUACAAAUCACUACUUUCAACAGAGGAAUGGGGAUGAAAGACAAGAUGGGUAUGGAAAAAAAACAAAUCUUUAGAACAUUGAUUCAAAACCCACAAAGAAUAUAGCAGUGCACAUAACAAGAAACUGAAGAAAACAAGGAACAAGAAGUGUAAUCAGC